RNAcentral lists this unclassified non-coding RNA (24 nucleotides) under Mus musculus (house mouse). RNAcentral describes it as "oocyte_clustered_small_RNA12032". Lineage: Eukaryota; Metazoa; Chordata; Mammalia; Rodentia; Muridae. The record is from RNAcentral.
UUGCCUUCACACAGUGCGCUCUGA